Molecule: ribosomal RNA, 1333 nt
Filed under: Lacticaseibacillus rhamnosus
Lineage: Bacteria; Bacillati; Bacillota; Bacilli; Lactobacillales; Lactobacillaceae
Description: bacterial SSU rRNA
Rfam family: Bacterial small subunit ribosomal RNA
Source: RNAcentral
UGAUUUAAUUUUGAACGAGUGGCGGACGGGUGAGUAACACGUGGGUAACCUGCCCUUAAGUGGGGGAUAACAUUUGGAAACAGAUGCUAAUACCGCAUAAAUCCAAGAACCGCAUGGUUCUUGGCUGAAAGAUGGCGUAAGCUAUCGCUUUUGGAUGGACCCGCGGCGUAUUAGCUAGUUGGUGAGGUAACGGCUCACCAAGGCAAUGAUACGUAGCCGAACUGAGAGGUUGAUCGGCCACAUUGGGACUGAGACACGGCCCAAACUCCUACGGGAGGCAGCAGUAGGGAAUCUUCCACAAUGGACGCAAGUCUGAUGGAGCAACGCCGCGUGAGUGAAGAAGGCUUUCGGGUCGUAAAACUCUGUUGUUGGAGAAGAAUGGUCGGCAGAGUAACUGUUGUCGGCGUGACGGUAUCCAACCAGAAAGCCACGGCUAACUACGUGCCAGCAGCCGCGGUAAUACGUAGGUGGCAAGCGUUAUCCGGAUUUAUUGGGCGUAAAGCGAGCGCAGGCGGUUUUUUAAGUCUGAUGUGAAAGCCCUCGGCUUAACCGAGGAAGUGCAUCGGAAACUGGGAAACUUGAGUGCAGAAGAGGACAGUGGAACUCCAUGUGUAGCGGUGAAAUGCGUAGAUAUAUGGAAGAACACCAGUGGCGAAGGCGGCUGUCUGGUCUGUAACUGACGCUGAGGCUCGAAAGCAUGGGUAGCGAACAGGAUUAGAUACCCUGGUAGUCCAUGCCGUAAACGAUGAAUGCUAGGUGUUGGAGGGUUUCCGCCCUUCAGUGCCGCAGCUAACGCAUUAAGCAUUCCGCCUGGGGAGUACGACCGCAAGGUUGAAACUCAAAGGAAUUGACGGGGGCCCGCACAAGCGGUGGAGCAUGUGGUUUAAUUCGAAGCAACGCGAAGAACCUUACCAGGUCUUGACAUCUUUUGAUCACCUGAGAGAUCAGGUUUCCCCUUCGGGGGCAAAAUGACAGGUGGUGCAUGGUUGUCGUCAGCUCGUGUCGUGAGAUGUUGGGUUAAGUCCCGCAACGAGCGCAACCCUUAUGACUAGUUGCCAGCAUUUAGUUGGGCACUCUAGUAAGACUGCCGGUGACAAACCGGAGGAAGGUGGGGAUGACGUCAAAUCAUCAUGCCCCUUAUGACCUGGGCUACACACGUGCUACAAUGGAUGGUACAACGAGUUGCGAGACCGCGAGGUCAAGCUAAUCUCUUAAAGCCAUUCUCAGUUCGGACUGUAGGCUGCAACUCGCCUACACGAAGUCGGAAUCGCUAGUAAUCGCGGAUCAGCACGCCGCGGUGAAUACGUUCCCGGGCCUUGUACACACCGCCCGU